UAAUGCCACCAGGUAUCUGAUGCUCUGUUAAUUUUAUGGCUGAGCUUCUCGUAAGUGUGGCAGAGAUGGAAGGGAAGAACAGGCCUUGCGACACAGGAUGCUCAUUUUUUGAAGUGUGCUUCCUGUUACUAAAUCCUGUUUACAUCU
Zingiber officinale is the source of this 147-nucleotide small nucleolar RNA. RefSeq annotates it as small nucleolar RNA F1/F2/snoR5a. Lineage: Eukaryota; Viridiplantae; Streptophyta; Magnoliopsida; Zingiberales; Zingiberaceae. The transcript has a single exon. The record is from RefSeq and is a predicted model, not a curated record.